ACUUCCCGAAUCGAUUAUUGAUCUAUUUUUGAUGUAGUCUUAGACUAUAUUAAGUGAGGUUGUAGUAUGAACCUCAAUAUCAAUCAAAAAUAGAGGCGAAAAGCAUACCACAAGUCGAGAUAGCUGGAUUUAAGGAAAAUGUAUUAAGUACAUUAUACAUGAUAAAAUUGUUUAGAAUUUUAUCUAACAGAAAAAGUUAUGUAAGUAAUUUUCUAUUAAAGAUAAGAUUAAUGUUUUAUUUAUCUAUAGCAAAAAAUCAUUUCUAUAAAUAAUGUUUCUGUUAAACUACCUUAAAGAUUAUACUAACAUUCAUGUAUUAUAGUUCUAUAAUGUUAAAAUUAGUAUAAAACAAAAAUACCCCCCAUUGAACUCGGCAAACGCCUAAUCAACUGUUUAUCAAAAACAUAGCUUGAAGAAUAUAUUUUAAGUUAAUUCUGCCCGGUGCUUUAAGUUAACGGCCGCAGUACCUUGACUGUGCUAAGGUAGCAUAAUCAAUUGGCUAUUAAUUGUAGUCUAGUAUGAAAGAAUAAAUGAUUAGGGGCUAUAAUAGGGGGUUUAGUUAAAACUUAUUUAUCAGGUGAAAAUACCUGUAAUAAGAAAAAAGACGAGAAGACCCUUAGAGUUUAAAAAAUUACACUAUAUCUGAUUAGUGGUGUUUUUUAUUGGGGCGAUAAGAAAACAUUAUUAAACUUUUCUAUCAAUGAUUGUACAGGCCGAAUUUAUUAUGGAUGGCUAAACUACCUUAGGGAUAACAGCAUAAUGAUGUAUUUUAGUUUGUGACCUCGAUGUUGGACUAGGAACUUUAACACUAGCCGUGGUAAAAGAAUGUUCUGUUCGAACAGUUGUUUCCUACAUGAUCUGAGUUCAGACCGUCGUGAGACAGGUCAGUUUCUAUCUUUUAAUUUACUCAUCCUAGUACGAAAGGACCAGAUG
Molecule: ribosomal RNA, 933 nt
Filed under: Physidae sp. PE4
Lineage: Eukaryota; Metazoa; Mollusca; Gastropoda; Physidae
Description: 16S ribosomal RNA
Source: RNAcentral